GCCCUUAUAGCUCAGUGGUAGAGCGCAUCACUCGUACUUCGUCCCUGAGGUCGCACAUGAUGAGGUCCGUUGUUCAAUCCAGCGUGAGGGCA
Non-coding RNA from Ceratobasidium sp. AG-I, 92 nucleotides. NCBI's taxonomy places the organism in Eukaryota, Fungi, Basidiomycota, Agaricomycetes, Cantharellales, Ceratobasidiaceae. The record is from the annotation of a GenBank genome assembly.